RNAcentral lists this ribosomal RNA (784 nucleotides) under uncultured Actinomycetes bacterium. RNAcentral's name for it is "bacterial SSU rRNA". It matches the Rfam family "Bacterial small subunit ribosomal RNA", at positions 1 to 797 of the family's 1533-position model. Lineage: Bacteria; Bacillati; Actinomycetota; Actinomycetes. The record is from RNAcentral.
GGCCGCGGGAUUAGAGUUUGAUCCUGGCUCAGGACGAACGCUGGCGGCGUGCUUAACACAUGCAAGUCGAACGAGGUCCAACCUUCGGGUGAAGACCUAGUGGCGAACGGGUGCGUAACACGUGAGGAACUUGUCCCGGUCUCUGGGAUAACAGUUGGAAACGACUGCUAAUACCGGAUGACGUCGGAGCGUCGCAUGGCGCGCUGACGAAAGGGUUACUGGAUCGGGAGAGCCUCGCGGCCUAUCAGCUUGUUGGUGGGGUAACGGCCUACCAAGGCAUCGACGGGUAGCUGGUCUGAGAGGAUGAUCAGCCACACUGGGACUGAGACACGGCCCAGACUCCUACGGGAGGCAGCAGUGGGGAAUCUUGCGCAAUGGGCGAAAGCCUGACGCAGCAACGCCGCGUGCGGGAAGAAGGCUCUCGGGUUGUAAACCGCUUUCAGAAGGAACGAAACUGACGGUACUUUCAGAAGAAGGUGCGGCCAACUACGUGCCAGCAGCCGCGGUGACACGUAGGCACCAAGCGUUGUCCGGAUUUAUUGGGCGUAAAGAGCUCGUAGGCGGUUCAGUAAGUCAGGUGUGAAAUCUUUGGGCUUAACCCAAAGCGUGCAUUUGAUACUGCUGUGACUUGAGUUCGGUAGGGGAGCGGGGAAUUCCUAGUGUAGCGGUGAAAUGCGCAGAUAUUAGGAGGAACACCGGUGGCGAAGGCGCCGCUCUGGGCCGAAACUGACGCUGAGGAGCGAAAGCGUGUGUAGCAAACAGGAUUAGAUACCCUGGUAGUCCA